This is an RNA transcript of Dermacentor silvarum, 2202 nucleotides long. It is a transcript of the gene named zinc finger BED domain-containing protein 4-like, with no coding region annotated. The record is from RefSeq and is a predicted model, not a curated record. Lineage: Eukaryota; Metazoa; Arthropoda; Arachnida; Ixodida; Ixodidae. The transcript is spliced from 2 exons.
UGUUGCCUCAGUUCAUCUUGCAUAGUUGUGCAGAAAAUUUUCUAGCUAUACCAAGACGCGAACGACCAGCAAUAUAGACUGAACGCUGGUCUAAAAUCGAAGUUCGAAAAUCUGUGACCGAAAAUCUUUGAAAUGGGAUACCAAAUUAACACGGGGCGUCCUCUCCUUCCCUGUCCCGUUAUGCGGUAAGUCGAAGUACGCACGCAAUAGGCAAGGCAGACUGCGGACAUAUAAUAGAAGCUGCUUGACAGCGAGGGCUGCAGCAUUCAUUCCGCUCAGUUUUAAUACAGUUUGAGCCAGCAGGCAUUUUUAAUGGCAUUGGCAAAGAAGGCUCGCAAUGGCCGCUGCCGCAAACAGUUCAAUAUCAGGCCCUUGUCGUGUAUUUAUAUCAAGCCCUGCGUCGUGUAUUUAUAUCAAGCCGUGUGUUUUUGGCAUUUGAUUGCGAUUCGAAUUUGCAAGAACAUUUACUGCUUCUUUUUCAUGAAUAGCCUUAUUUUAAGCAGUGUUUUAUGAUUAUUAAUCGUCCUAGACACUGCUUAAACAGAAACAUACCGUAAACUCUGAUUAAUUUCCCUUUCUCCAAAAGCAGACACCUUGCUGAUAAACGUAUAUCGGGCAAAGCUCUACUGUCCUUGGCUAAACUUUCUGUUUGUUGGGCUGCUGAGCACGAGGUCGCGGGAUCGAAUUCCGGCCACGGCGGCCGCAUUUCGAUGGGGGCGAAAUGCGAAAAACACCCGUGUGUUUAGAUUUAGGUGCACGUUAAAGAACCUCAGGUGGUCCAAAUUUCCGGAGUCCCCCACUACGGCGUGCCUCAUAAUCAGAUCGUUGUUUUGGCACGUAAAACCCCAUAAUUAAAUUAAAUUUCUUUCUGUUUCAGAUUGAUGUCUUCAACUCCGUCAUGGAAGUUUUGAAAGAAUAUAAUGAAAGCAACCCGACAAGACGCAUAAGCGUUUCUCAGAUGGAAAUGAAUUCUGGUCGUUUUUGUGAAAUUCUGGCGCUGCUCAGGCCUCUUGCAGACGCCACCGACCGGUUGCAAUCGGACGGAGUGACGUCAUGUGACUUACAUAUCAGCAUUAGCUCAUGCUACGCGCAAAUCAACAAUUGCCGGACUUCUGAGUAAGUAUACUAUUCUGGGCACGAAAAAGUCGUAGGGAGGAAAUAAAAAUCAGGGUUCUUAAUGUUCAUAAUCCUUGCGUAGGAAGCGACUUUUCUUGACAUGUGAAUGGUUCGCGAUUAAUUACGCAUACCCGCGCGAUUUCACUAACUUUCCUCUCAUUUCGUCGCUUCGUCCUCUUGGCCAUGAACUGUGAGAAACAAGAUUAGCGUUAACAUUUCGAUAUCCGAUCAACAGGUUAAAGUAUGAAUAAGUGCAGCUAAUACAGUUUUGAAUCGUAUAACGGGAUCACGAAUAGAAACAGCCUUCCUUUCCUUUUACAGGCUAUUUGGCUCUCUAAAGCCUAGAUACCUGAUCAAUAGGGUUAUUGACCUACAAAGUCGCGGGUCGCGUUUUCUUUGUAAUAAUUGAUUGCCAUUGUCUGGCUAUAUACCAAGCGAUACCAGCAGUUUUUUUAGAUAACCUAACGUUGCAGUAGUAGUACAUAUUUUUAUCUCAGGUCAGUAAUUAUUUAUUCCCUUUCAGAUUUCCUGACCUAAAAAACACGGUCCUGGAGGAACUGAACAACCGCUUCGAAGAAGUGCUCUACGACGACUUUUUUGUGGCUUCAAGUGUGCUCCAUCCACGACAAAAACUCCGAGUAUUUAAUGCAUCGGUUGCCCCAGGGCUUGCAAAGCCCACAGCAAACGAAGCAACAGCCGCUGUUGAAAGGCUACUUGAAGCCCACGUGCAGGGCCCAGCAGCCACUGCUGACAAAGCGUCCUCGCAACAGGCUCAAUGUGACGUGGGGCAGGAAGGGAUAGGCGACGCACGCGACCCCUACGCACUAUUGGAUGUCGUUUGUCCAACAGCACAUCACGAGCAAUCGGAACUCGACAGGUACCUGAGCAGCACGUCGACAGCGGACGACGUGUUAGCUUAUUGGCAUAAGCAUGGGGAAACAUUCCCACGUCUCGCAAAGCUCGCAGUUGUGUGCUUGGGCGUGCCCGCGUCAUCUGGAGCUGUUGAAAGGCUGUUCUCAACGGCAGGGGCACUCCAACGAGCAAGGAGAGCUUCGCUCGCUCCACGCACCGUGGAACAGCUGGUGC